This 73-nucleotide transfer RNA is filed under the name Phytophthora infestans T30-4. It matches the Rfam family "tRNA". From Rfam's summary of the family: Transfer RNA (tRNA) molecules are approximately 80 nucleotides in length. Their secondary structure includes four short double-helical elements and three loops (D, anti-codon, and T loops). Lineage: Eukaryota; Oomycota; Peronosporomycetes; Peronosporales; Peronosporaceae. The record is from Rfam by way of RNAcentral.
UCUUAAAUAGUCUAGCCGGUUAGAAUACGUGGCUUCCACCCACGCGACCCGGGUUCGAGUCCCGGUUUGGGAA